RNAcentral lists this ribosomal RNA (253 nucleotides) under uncultured bacterium. RNAcentral describes it as "partial 16S ribosomal RNA". It matches the Rfam family "Bacterial small subunit ribosomal RNA", at positions 524 to 776 of the family's 1533-position model. The record is from RNAcentral.
UACGUAGGGCGCAAGCGUUGUCCGGAAUUAUUGGGCGUAAAGAGCUCGUAGGCGGCUUGUCACGUCGGGUGUGAAAGCCCGGGGCUUAACCCCGGGUCUGCAUUCGAUACGGGCUAGCUAGAGUGUGGUAGGGGGGAUCGGAAUUCCUGGUGUAGCGGUGAAAUGCGCAGAUAUCAGGAGGAACACCGGUGGCGAAGGCGGAUCUCUGGGCCAUUACUGACGCUGAGGAGCGAAAGCGUGGGGAGCAAACAGG